This 253-nucleotide ribosomal RNA is filed under the name uncultured bacterium. RNAcentral describes it as "partial 16S ribosomal RNA". It matches the Rfam family "Bacterial small subunit ribosomal RNA", at positions 524 to 776 of the family's 1533-position model. The record is from RNAcentral.
UACGUAGGGGGCAAGCGUUGUCCGGAUUUAUUGGGCGUAAAGAGCGUGUAGGCGGCCAGGUAGGUCUGGUGUGAAAACUCGAGGCUUAACCUCGAGAUGUCAUCGGAAACCAUCUGGCUAGAGUCCGGAAGAGGAGAGUGGAAUUCCUGGUGUAGCGGUGAAAUGCGCAGAUAUCAGGAAGAACACCAAUGGCGAAAGCAGCUCUCUGGGACGGUACUGACGCUGAGACGCGAAAGCGUGGGGAGCAAACAGG